This 1618-nucleotide ribosomal RNA is filed under the name Escherichia coli. RNAcentral's name for it is "partial 23S ribosomal RNA". It matches the Rfam family "Bacterial large subunit ribosomal RNA", at positions 614 to 2215 of the family's 2925-position model. The record is from RNAcentral. Lineage: Bacteria; Pseudomonadati; Pseudomonadota; Gammaproteobacteria; Enterobacterales; Enterobacteriaceae.
AAUGGGUCAGCGACUUAUAUUCUGUAGCAAGGUUAACCGAAUAGGGGAGCCGAAGGGAAACCGAGUCUUAACUGGGCGUUAAGUUGCAGGGUAUAGACCCGAAACCCGGUGAUCUAGCCAUGGGCAGGUUGAAGGUUGGGUAACACUAACUGGAGGACCGAACCGACUAAUGUUGAAAAAUUAGCGGAUGACUUGUGGCUGGGGGUGAAAGGCCAAUCAAACCGGGAGAUAGCUGGUUCUCCCCGAAAGCUAUUUAGGUAGCGCCUCGUGAAUUCAUCUCCGGGGGUAGAGCACUGUUUCGGCAAGGGGGUCAUCCCGACUUACCAACCCGAUGCAAACUGCGAAUACCGGAGAAUGUUAUCACGGGAGACACACGGCGGGUGCUAACGUCCGUCGUGAAGAGGGAAACAACCCAGACCGCCAGCUAAGGUCCCAAAGUCAUGGUUAAGUGGGAAACGAUGUGGGAAGGCCCAGACAGCCAGGAUGUUGGCUUAGAAGCAGCCAUCAUUUAAAGAAAGCGUAAUAGCUCACUGGUCGAGUCGGCCUGCGCGGAAGAUGUAACGGGGCUAAACCAUGCACCGAAGCUGCGGCAGCGACGCUUAUGCGUUGUUGGGUAGGGGAGCGUUCUGUAAGCCUGUGAAGGUGUACUGUGAGGUAUGCUGGAGGUAUCAGAAGUGCGAAUGCUGACAUAAGUAACGAUAAAGCGGGUGAAAAGCCCGCUCGCCGGAAGACCAAGGGUUCCUGUCCAACGUUAAUCGGGGCAGGGUGAGUCGACCCCUAAGGCGAGGCCGAAAGGCGUAGUCGAUGGGAAACAGGUUAAUAUUCCUGUACUUGGUGUUACUGCGAAGGGGGGACGGAGAAGGCUAUGUUGGCCGGGCGACGGUUGUCCCGGUUUAAGCGUGUAGGCUGGUUUUCCAGGCAAAUCCGGAAAAUCAAGGCUGAGGCGUGAUGACGAGGCACUACGGUGCUGAAGCAACAAAUGCCCUGCUUCCAGGAAAAGCCUCUAAGCAUCAGGUAACAUCAAAUCGUACCCCAAACCGACACAGGUGGUCAGGUAGAGAAUACCAAGGCGCUUGAGAGAACUCGGGUGAAGGAACUAGGCAAAAUGGUGCCGUAACUUCGGGAGAAGGCACGCUGAUAUGUAGGUGAAGCGACUUGCUCGUGGAGCUGAAAUCAGUCGAAGAUACCAGCUGGCUGCAACUGUUUAUUAAAAACACAGCACUGUGCAAACACGAAAGUGGACGUAUACGGUGUGACGCCUGCCCGGUGCCGGAAGGUUAAUUGAUGGGGUUAGCGGUAACGCGAAGCUCUUGAUCGAAGCCCCGGUAAACGGCGGCCGUAACUAUAACGGUCCUAAGGUAGCGAAAUUCCUUGUCGGGUAAGUUCCGACCUGCACGAAUGGCGUAAUGAUGGCCAGGCUGUCUCCACCCGAGACUCAGUGAAAUUGAACUCGCUGUGAAGAUGCAGUGUACCCGCGGCAAGACGGAAAGACCCCGUGAACCUUUACUAUAGCUUGACACUGAACAUUGAGCCUUGAUGUGUAGGAUAGGUGGGAGGCUUUGAAGUGUGGACGCCAGUCUGCAUGGAGCCGACCUUGAAAUACCACCCUUUAAUGUUU